GUUAUAUGUUGCACAUAUACUAAAAUUGGAACGAUACAGAGAAAAUUAGCCCGGCCCCUGCGCAAGGUUGACAUGCAAAGUUGUGAAGCGUUCCACAUUUUU
This 102-nucleotide small nuclear RNA is filed under the name Pelobates cultripes (western spadefoot toad). The record is from RNAcentral. Lineage: Eukaryota; Metazoa; Chordata; Amphibia; Anura; Pelobatidae.